AGAAGGUGCGAAAGGAUUGCCAUAUAUGGAGCCUGUCAGGGGAUUUCAGUUGUUGUCACACUUCUACAAUCGAGUACCCUACUUCGCAGAGAAUCAUCGACUUUAUUGCUUUUUCACCGCUUUAAACAGCUUGAAAUAAUGUACUAUGGAAGGAGAAAAAAAAAUAAACGAACGCAUAAAGAAACCGGAGCUACUCCACACAAGCCAGCCGCCAAAAAGCCUGUGAGGAACAGUUUAGGCGUUACGAGAAGCAGACGGUCUAUCGAUCUAAGCGGCAGCCAGCCAUCAGCAGUUGAGGAGUAUGCACAGAGGCGUUGUAAUUCGCCAACCACUCUUCGUCGGCGAUCGGCUCGUCUUGAUACGGGAGAAACUCGUUUGCCGCUUCGUUUAUAGAUGUUGCCGUUCCUUGUAAGACUCUAUACAUUCCAGUUCGUUCUCUACGUCGGUCAACUCAUUUUCCGAUAAUUCUGAAGACUCCGUAUAGCUCAUUGUAACGUUUUCACUCGCGAUUCCUAGACGCCUGGGAGAUUGGUGACUGCGAGACUGACUGCGACACUAAAAGCGCAUAAAUAAUGCAACAGGAUUUUUGCGCCAUGGGCCCGCAAUACAUUUUGCCGGUCAGCGACGGACGUGUUUUACGGUCUCGUGUAUAUCGCAUGUGUUUGAAAAGCUGCAAAAAUAUUCGGGAUUGGAGGAAUUCGAAAUUUUUUUUUUCGGGAAAGUAAGCCUCAGAUAAUGUACAUUUUUUGCCCAAAACGGUCUUACCUUUCCCUGGAGCAGCACUUUA
Nematostella vectensis (starlet sea anemone) is the source of this 787-nucleotide long non-coding RNA. RefSeq lists it as uncharacterized. The transcript has 3 exons. NCBI's taxonomy places the organism in Eukaryota, Metazoa, Cnidaria, Anthozoa, Actiniaria, Edwardsiidae. The record is from RefSeq and is a predicted model, not a curated record.